Vicugna pacos (alpaca) is the source of this 2571-nucleotide non-coding RNA. NCBI's taxonomy places the organism in Eukaryota, Metazoa, Chordata, Mammalia, Artiodactyla, Camelidae. The record is from RefSeq and is a predicted model, not a curated record.
UUCCACAUUUAAAGUCGAGAGUGGACAUGCAGUGGUGUACUCUGAGAAACAUUUAAUCGGUGCUCUGUCCUCAGAGUACAUGAGACAGUCAGUGCUAGCCAGCUGGCCUCCUGACACUCUAUGACACAGAGAGAACCCCAUCCAAGUUUACUUUCCAUCCAUCUAUUUUUGAAUCCUUUUAACACUUUAGAGAGAGAGAAAGAGAGAACAGAACAGGCAGGCAGGCUGUGUUUAACCCCCAAACCACUUGCAGAGCCUGAAAGCCUGGGAGUAAAUACAAUUCCUCUGGCACCUUGUUAUAAGACAGACAUAACACAGAACAUCUCACCGUACUAUUAGUCUACGGAUUCCGCGCUCCAGCGUACUUACGUAUUUACAGAAAAGAGAGGGGGCAGACGGAGAGGACUGUGCUGAGAUGUUUAGAGAGAAUUCAGGACCCAAGCUGCAGCAGUAUUAACGAGGAAGGGAGGGUGGGGCGGCCCAGAAAACAAACGAGCUGCUCGCAUGAGUUUCGAAAGAGACGGUGUAGAAGACACACAAACAUUCCUAGUUCCUUGCCUUGGCUGGACACCACGGCUGCAAAAGGAAACGAGGAACUGGAAGGAUCAUCCUUAUUGCAUUCACAGGAAACAGAAGCCUCAACUGAAUCACUACGAGUCAGCAGUCAGUUCCACAAGCAUAACAAAUUAAAGCUCACCAAGAAGAGAACACUAAGAACUUAGAAGCCACAUGUGCUCUUUUCUUGAAGGAAACAAUUUCAUGGAACUCAUUAUUAGAAGGAAGACAAGCAUGAGAUUAAAAGCACGUAGUUUCCCAUUUUUGAUGCACCCAGAACACAGGGAGCAGGCAAUGAGGAAUUUGGCCGGCUGGAUUGUACUGUGCCUGGCUUACCAAAUUCCAGCCUGUUCCCCAUUCCCAGCCAGCCCACCAGGCACAGGCAAUCCUAGGAGAGGGUGGUCAGCCUCAGGCUCCCGGGUUAAGCCCAAAGCUCUAGUUCCAGGCUCAGAGCUACAAAACUGUAGUUCUCUUCUCAUUCCCUCUCCCUCAACACAGCCCCAAGCUUCUCCUUGGGUUUCAGUGGGGCAAAGGUCAGGAAAUGGGGGGACUCUACAGAUGAUCUCAUUUUAAGGACAGCCAUCUGUCACCUACGGCUCAACUGGGGAUGAGACCGUAAGGAAAGUUUAUUUUCCUGAUGUUAUGAACUGGAUGUGUAUCCCCCAAAAUUCAUAAGUGGAAUCCCUAAUCCCAAGUGAUGGCACCUGGAUGUGGGGCCUGUGGGUGGUGAUUAGAGUUAGACGAGGUUACGAGGGUGAGGCUCCAGGAGGGGAUUAGCAUCCUUGUAAAAGGAGGAAGAGAGACCAGAGUGCUCUCUUUCCACCAGGUGAGGACACAGUGAGAAGGUGGCUGUCUACACACCAGGAAGAGAGCCCUACCUAGGAACCCAACAGGCUGGCGCCUUGAUCUUGGACUUCGCAGCCUCCAGAACUGUGAGAAAUAAAUGUCUGUCAGUUAAGCCACCUGUCUUUGAUAUUUUGUUACAGCAGCCUAAGCCGAGAAGCCUAGAUUCUCCUCACUGCUGUAAAGAUAGCUCACUACAAGGAGGAAACCAGCAGCUUCCACUGAGUUGCACAGAAGGUAGGGCAGUGAACAAGUGGGGCUGCUUGAAGAAUCUGAUAUGUUCCUAGUGUGGGCAGUUUCAGAAAGUACCAGCUCCUGCCUCCCUGUGGGACCACCACGAGGAUGCUGUCAGAGAGGGAAGCCCUGGUCCCUGUCACUGGAGGUGAGAGAGAAGGGCAAUGGGAGAAUGGAUUCCCUGCUGGCCCGUGAGUCUCCUGGACUCCAACUCAGUCCUUGUGAGGAGAUGGUGGGCCCGCAGGGGUCUGCGAGCUGUCCUCAUCUGAAACCAAGCCAGAGCAGUCACCAGCCCAGCCCUCCGUGGCCUUGUCUGAGCCAGGGUAUACUUACAGCCCCGGCAAUGGCGACAAGGACAAGAAGUCACUUUUGCAUUCAGAAAACACAUCCCAGAGGUAAUGCGUAACUAAAGCUUCUCAACGGUUGGAUGGCCGGUUUUACACUGAAUAUUCAGAAUCAAAUCUCUACAUCAGCAAUUUACCAGGCGUCCUUUAAGACAUUCCAGUAAAAAGAAGAUUCUCCAAUAGUGACAGAGAAGAAAACACACCCACCAUCCGUAGGCGGUAUUACAAGAUGAUCAUUCUAAUUGGGAAGCUCACCCUUACAAACUCCUGGAGGGCACCACUUCACAUGGGGACCUGAACGCAACAAACACUCAGGAAAGUUACCAUAAGUAAAUGUAUUUAAAGGGGGUUUUUACUUACUUCAUAUGCUGUUAAAAUUCUCUAUUAGAGAAGCUACUUCAGAGGCCACAAGGAAUUAGUGGGUUACCCUUUGGGCCAGGUCCCUGACAGUGGAAAAGGAUGUCCUUCUGCAUCUGCCUUGAAUUAAUCAGCAUUAUUUCCUAACAAGGAUAGAGAGCCAAUUGGAUCCAUUAUUGAGAGCACUGAGGAGGACGUGUGUCUGCCAUUGGCAGAUGCUGGGAAAGGUCUUAUAAAU